Long non-coding RNA from Dreissena polymorpha, 539 nucleotides. RefSeq lists it as uncharacterized. The record is from RefSeq and is a predicted model, not a curated record. Lineage: Eukaryota; Metazoa; Mollusca; Bivalvia; Myida; Dreissenidae. The transcript is spliced from 3 exons.
GGUCACGGUGACCCGAAAUAGUAAAAUGGUUUCCGGAUGAUAACUCAAGAACGCAUAUGCCUAAGAUCAUGAAACUUCAUGGGUAGAUUGAUCAUGACUCGCAGAUGACCCCUAUUGAUUUUGAGGUCACUAGGUCAAGGUCACGGUGACCCGAAAAAGUAAAAUGAUUUUCGGAUGAUAAUUCAAGAACGCAUAUGCCUAGGAUCAUGAAACUUUAUAGGUAGAUUGAUCAUGACUCGCAGAUGACCCCUAUUGAUUUUCAGGUCACUAGGUCAAAGGUCAAGGUCACGGUGACCCGAAAUAGUAAAAUGAUUUUCGGAUGAUAACUCAAGAACGCUUUUGCCUAGGAUCAUGACACUUCAUAGGUACAUUGAUCGUGACUUGCAGAUGACCCCUAUUGAUUUUCAGGUCACUAGGUCAAAGGUCAAGGUCACAGUGACAAAAGUCGUAUUCACACAAUGGCUGCCAGUACAACAGACAGCCCAUAUGGGGGGCAUGCAUGUUUUACAAACAGCCCUUGUAUUAAAUUAGUUUUUCCC